This 1510-nucleotide ribosomal RNA is filed under the name Vibrio parahaemolyticus. RNAcentral's name for it is "bacterial SSU rRNA". It matches the Rfam family "Bacterial small subunit ribosomal RNA". The record is from RNAcentral. Lineage: Bacteria; Pseudomonadati; Pseudomonadota; Gammaproteobacteria; Vibrionales; Vibrionaceae.
CAGGCCUAACACAUGCAAGUCGAGCGGAAACGAGUUAUCUGAACCUUCGGGGAACGAUAACGGCGUCGAGCGGCGGACGGGUGAGUAAUGCCUAGGAAAUUGCCCUGAUGUGGGGGAUAACCAUUGGAAACGAUGGCUAAUACCGCAUAAUGCCUGCGGGCCAAAGAGGGGGACCUUCGGGCCUCCCGCGUCAGGAUAUGCCUAGGUGGGAUUAGCUAGUUGGUGAGGUAAGGGCUCACCAAGGCGACGAUCCCUAGCUGGUCUGAGAGGAUGAUCAGCCACACUGGAACUGAGACACGGUCCAGACUCCUACGGGAGGCAGCAGUGGGGAAUAUUGCACAAUGGGCGCAAGCCUGAUGCAGCCAUGCCGCGUGUGUGAAGAAGGCCUUCGGGUUGUAAAGCACUUUCAGUCGUGAGGAAGGUAGUGUAGUUAAUAGCUGCAUUAUUUGACGUUAGCGACAGAAGAAGCACCGGCUAACUCCGUGCCAGCAGCCGCGGUAAUACGGAGGGUGCGAGCGUUAAUCGGAAUUACUGGGCGUAAAGCGCAUGCAGGUGGUUUGUUAAGUCAGAUGUGAAAGCCCGGGGCUCAACCUCGGAAUAGCAUUUGAAACUGGCAGACUAGAGUACUGUAGAGGGGGGUAGAAUUUCAGGUGUAGCGGUGAAAUGCGUAGAGAUCUGAAGGAAUACCGGUGGCGAAGGCGGCCCCCUGGACAGAUACUGACACUCAGAUGCGAAAGCGUGGGGAGCAAACAGGAUUAGAUACCCUGGUAGUCCACGCCGUAAACGAUGUCUACUUGGAGGUUGUGGCCUUGAGCCGUGGCUUUCGGAGCUAACGCGUUAAGUAGACCGCCUGGGGAGUACGGUCGCAAGAUUAAAACUCAAAUGAAUUGACGGGGGCCCGCACAAGCGGUGGAGCAUGUGGUUUAAUUCGAUGCAACGCGAAGAACCUUACCUACUCUUGACAUCCAGAGAACUUUCCAGAGAUGGAUUGGUGCCUUCGGGAACUCUGAGACAGGUGCUGCAUGGCUGUCGUCAGCUCGUGUUGUGAAAUGUUGGGUUAAGUCCCGCAACGAGCGCAACCCUUAUCCUUGUUUGCCAGCGUGUAAUGUCGGGAACUCCAGGGAGACUGCCGGUGAUAAACCGGAGGAAGGUGGGGACGACGUCAAGUCAUCAUGGCCCUUACGAGUAGGGCUACACACGUGCUACAAUGGCGCAUACAGAGGGCGGCCAACUUGCGAAAGUGAGCGAAUCCCAAAAAGUGCGUCGUAGUCCGGAUUGGAGUCUGCAACUCGACUCCAUGAAGUCGGAAUCGCUAGUAAUCGUGGAUCAGAAUGCCACGGUGAAUACGUUCCCGGGCCUUGUACACACCGCCCGGCACACCAUGGGAGUGGGCUGCAAAAGAAGUAGGUAGUUUAACCUUCGGGGGGACGCUUACCACUUUGUGGUUCAUGACUGGGGUGAAGUCGUAACAAGGUAGCGCUAGGGGAACCUGGCGCUGGAUCACCUCCUU